Molecule: long non-coding RNA, 106 nt
Organism: Leopardus geoffroyi (Geoffroy's cat)
Lineage: Eukaryota; Metazoa; Chordata; Mammalia; Carnivora; Felidae
Exons: 2
Source: RefSeq, a predicted model, not a curated record
CUUUGUUUUAUGGGGUGUGUGUUUGUGUGUGUGUGUGUAGUUUGUGUGUGUGUGUGUGUGUAUACACAGCUUAUGUAAAUUCUCCACAGAAUGGGUGUGUAGAACA